CCUACGGGUGGCAGCAGUGAGGAAUAUUGGUCAAUGGGCGCGAGCCUGAACCAGCCAAGUAGCGUGAAGGAUGACUGCCCUACGGGUUGUAAACUUCUUUUAUAGAGGCAUAAAGUGAGGCGCGUGUGCCUUUUUGUAUGUACUUUAUGAAUAAGGCUCGGCUCACUCCGUUCCAGCAGCCGCGGUAAUACGGAGGAUCCGAGCGUUAUCCGGAUUUAUUGGGUUUAAAGGGAGCGUAGUUGGGUUGUUAAGUCAGUUGUGAAUGUUUGCGGCUCAACCGUAAAAUUGCAAUUGAUACUGGCAGCCUUGAGUACAGUUGAGGUAGGCGGAAUUCGUGGUGUAGCGGUGAAAUGCUUAGAUAUCACGAAGAACUCCGAUUGCGAAGGCAGCCUACUAAACUGCCACUGACAUUGAUGCUCGAAAGUGUGGGUAGCAAACAGGAUUAGAUACCCCAGUAGUC
RNAcentral lists this ribosomal RNA (460 nucleotides) under uncultured bacterium. Its description in RNAcentral is "partial 16S ribosomal RNA". It matches the Rfam family "Bacterial small subunit ribosomal RNA", at positions 338 to 795 of the family's 1533-position model. The record is from RNAcentral.